NNNNNNNNNNNNNNNNNNNNNNNNNNNNUGUGAAGGUUUCCUUGGAGUCCUUGCUGGGAUGUGCAUGGAGGGUGCUCAGCAAUCCCAGGCUUGAGAGAUGGGUGCUGCCCUUCCAGUGUCUUCUCAGGGACGUUACACCUUCCCAGCUUCUCUGAAGUGACUCCAUUUACACUUCUUGCAAAGCCUUUUUUUCCCCACCCUUCUCCCUCCCCUCUGGAAGCCCUCAUUGGGUCCAUCUCUGUUCCCAGUGCAGGUGGUGCUGCAGCCGCCCCUCUGGCUGCCCUUUGCUGGCUGAGGUGAUUCUGCCUCUCCCCUCACAGCUACUGAGCACACCUCAAGGUCAGCAGUUUUGGUUUGCUUUUUACCCUCUUAAUCAUUUACCCCAGUGUGUUGGAUUCAGUAGAAAGGUUUUCCUUGUCCCUCCCGGUGAAGGGGCUGCAGAGCCCCGUGUCCGUACUCACAGAAUCCCAGAGCGAGCAGCAGGAGCAGGGCAGGAGACGUGUCCAUCUUCCCCUGGGGCGCCUGUGCCUAGGGCUGGUGCAGAGCAGCUGAGGAGAUCUCUGUCACUUGGCUUGGGAGGCUGUGUCACUCUUUGGGGAGGAUGUGAUGUCACCAGGACCCUCUUGGGUAGGGAGGUGAUGCUCGGCAUCUGCGGCGUACCGAGGACAAAAAACAUUCCUGAAGAAAUUAAUUGUCCAGAGUUUAUACAUCCUUAUCAGUUCUUAAUGGUGCCUCAAGGCGUUUUGCUGGAUGCCUUCCCUAGAGAUCCACUGAUGCUGCUCAUGGCUGAGGUAGGACCAGCCAGCACAGCCUGCUCUGCCCAGCCCUCCGGGGACCCACAGCAGCUGCAGCUCUGCACGAGUUAUGGAUGAGUCCCAUGCUUUUGGUGCAGGCUGCACUUUGCUUUUCUUGGCAGGGAUUCUGCCUCCUCCUCCUCAGCACCCUCAAGGGGUCUCACGUGGAUGGCAGAGCCCAGGCUGUUUUGUUACCCAGCAAGUGGGACACAGGUGUUUCAUGGCAUAGAGACACAGAUCAUUCAUCUCCAAGCACACGUGCUGCUGGCACACAGCUGGGUC
RNAcentral lists this long non-coding RNA (1076 nucleotides) under Zonotrichia albicollis (white-throated sparrow). RNAcentral's name for it is "lncRNA (ENSZALG00000012483.1)". Lineage: Eukaryota; Metazoa; Chordata; Aves; Passeriformes; Passerellidae. The record is from RNAcentral.